ACGCUGGCGGCAGGCCUAACACAUGCAAGUCGAGCGGAUGACGGGAGCUUGCUCCUUGAGCUUGCUCCUUGAUUCAGCGGCGGACGGGUGAGUAAUGCCUAGGAAUCUGCCUGGUAGUGGGGGACAACGUUUCGAAAGGAACGCUAAUACCGCAUACGUCCUACGGGAGAAARCAGGGGACCUUCGGGCCUUGCGCUAUCAGAUGAGCCUAGGUCGGAUUAGCUAGUUGGUGGGGUAAUGGCUCACCAAGGCGCGCUAUCASAUGAGCCGACGAUCCGUAACUGGUCUGAGAGGAUGAUCAGUCACACUGGAACUGAGACACGGUCCAGACUCCUACGGGAGGCAGCAGUGGGGAAUAUUGGACAAUGGGCGAAAGCCUGAUCCAGCCAUGCCGCGUGUGUGAAGAAGGUCUUCGGAUUGUAAAGCACUUUAAGUUGGGAGGAAGGGCAUUAACCUAAUACGUUAGUGUUUUGACGUUACCGACAGAAUAAGCACCGGCUAACUCUGUGCCAGCAGCCGCGGUAAUACAGAGGGUGCAAGCGUUAAUCGGAAUUACUGGGCGUAAAGCG
This 569-nucleotide ribosomal RNA is filed under the name Pseudomonas putida. RNAcentral's name for it is "bacterial SSU rRNA". Lineage: Bacteria; Pseudomonadati; Pseudomonadota; Gammaproteobacteria; Pseudomonadales; Pseudomonadaceae. The record is from RNAcentral.